Molecule: ribosomal RNA, 618 nt
Filed under: uncultured bacterium
Lineage: Bacteria
Description: bacterial SSU rRNA
Rfam family: Bacterial small subunit ribosomal RNA
Source: RNAcentral
CCUACGGGAGGCAGCAGUGGGGAAUUUUGGACAAUGGGCGAAAGCCUGAUCCAGCCAUUCCGCGUGAGUGAAGAAGGCCUUCGGGUUGUAAAGCUCUUUCGCAAGGGAAGAAAACUUAGAUACUAAUAUUAUCUGAGGUUGACGGUACCUUGAUAAGAAGCACCGGCUAGCUACGUGCCAGCAGCCGCGGUAAUACGUAGGGUGCGAGCGUUAAUCGGAAUUACUGGGCGUAAAGCGUGCGCAGGCGGUUUUGUAAGUCAGAUGUGAAAUCCCCGAGCUCAACUUGGGAACUGCGUUUGAAACUACAAGACUAGAAUAUGUCAGAGGGGGGUAGAAUUCCACGUGUAGCAGUGAAAUGCGUAGAGAUGUGGAGGAAUACCAAUGGCGAAGGCAGCCCCCUGGGAUAAUAUUGACGCUCAUGCACGAAAGCGUGGGGAGCAAACAGGAUUAGAUACCCUGGUAGUCCACGCCCUAAACGAUGUCUACUAGUUGUUGGUGGAGUAAAAUCCAUGAGUAACGCAGCUAACGCGUGAAGUAGACCGCCUGGGGAGUCGGUCGCAAGNUUAAAACUCAAAGGAUUGACGGNUGAGAGNGCGACGGCGACGACGAGGGAGGAGG